UUAAAAUUUAUAUGUUAGCUAUGUUGUGCCCCAGGUUAAUUAUGGUUCUAGAUCCGCCACUGGAGACUAACAUCAUCAUUCUCAUGAAAAGAGUCGCAACGACUAUAAAAGUGAUCGCCGUUUAGUCUAGUGAUGCCGACGAUACCAACAUCUCAUGUAAAAGUGGUCGCAACGACACCCUUACUAUUUAUUCUCCGUUUUCUUUAGAGAGGCUUCUCCGUAAAGAAAAAUACAGAAGCUACACGAUCUUGACAAACUCUCAAAUGUUUGAUUUUGCAAGGAAAGAAAAAAAGUAAUAAUGAGAAGAGAGAGAAAGAGAGUGAAAAGAAGAAGCGACGAAGAAGAAGAAAAAAAAAGGAACGUGGAAAGAUGAAACUUUUUUUU
RNAcentral lists this small RNA (384 nucleotides) under Arabidopsis thaliana (thale cress). RNAcentral's name for it is "ATSL289290". The record is from RNAcentral. Lineage: Eukaryota; Viridiplantae; Streptophyta; Magnoliopsida; Brassicales; Brassicaceae.